UGGUGGAGUGAUUUGUCUGGUUAAUUCCGAUAACGAACGAGACCUUAACCUGCUAAAUAGACCGGUCGGCUUUUGCUGGCCGCCGUCUUCUUAGAGGGACUAACAGCGUUUAGCUGUUGGAAGUUUGAGGCAAUAACA
Molecule: ribosomal RNA, 138 nt
Filed under: uncultured eukaryote
Lineage: Eukaryota
Description: partial 18S ribosomal RNA
Rfam family: Eukaryotic small subunit ribosomal RNA
Source: RNAcentral